GAUGAACGCUGGCGGCGUGCCUAACACAUGCAAGUCGAACGGAAUCGCCUUGGAAAUCUCUUCUGAGAUGGAAUUCUCGACUUAGUGGCGGACGGGUUAGUAACGCCUGAGCAUUCUGCCUUUAUGAGGGGGAUAACAGUCGGACACGGCUGCUAAUACCGCAUAAAGCAUUAAAUUCGCAUGUUUCUGAUGCCAAAGGAGCAAUCGGCUCUUAGAUGAGCUCGCGUCUGCUUAGCUCGUGGGCGGGGUUACGGCCCACCGAGGCGGAGAGGUGUAGCCGGAGAGAGGGGGAGAAGGGACACAGUGACAGUGAGACGCGGCAGAGACUCAUGCGGGGCGCAGGAGGGGAGAAUAUUGCGCAAGGGGGGAGACUGUGACGCAGCAGCGGCGCGUGAGUGAAGAGGGCCUUGGGGUUGAAAAGAUCUUGAAUGAGACGCAGAGCGAAUGACGGUACCUGAAGAAUAAGCACCGGCUAACUACGUG
This 483-nucleotide ribosomal RNA is filed under the name uncultured bacterium. RNAcentral describes it as "partial 16S ribosomal RNA". It matches the Rfam family "Bacterial small subunit ribosomal RNA", at positions 28 to 507 of the family's 1533-position model. The record is from RNAcentral.